Long non-coding RNA from Daphnia pulex (common water flea), 325 nucleotides. RefSeq lists it as uncharacterized. The transcript has 4 exons. The record is from RefSeq and is a predicted model, not a curated record. Lineage: Eukaryota; Metazoa; Arthropoda; Branchiopoda; Diplostraca; Daphniidae.
AGUUAUACGUGAAGUUUAAACGUUUCGCCAAGACUUCCAGUAGCGCUCCUCCUUUGAGCGGUCCAAAUAGUCCUUUGGGGUUUCCACUCCAGCGUGUCUGCCACGAAUUACAUGACGCGGAGGUGUUUGCCGCUGAGCGGAUUGGGCGUCGGUGAGGAACCGUGAAAAGAAAUGAUGAACCAACUGAAGAAUGUUAACAAAGGUCAUCGACUAUUGGUGGCUGAAUGCGAUCGAAUUUGACUGCCUAACCUCUUACCAACGGUUAACUUGUUUUAAGUUUAAAAUUAUUUGCUCACAGCAGAUUUCACAUAGCGACAGAGUAAAA